ACGGAGGGUGCAAACGUUGUUCGGAAUUAUUGGGCGUAAAGAGCAUGUAGGCGGUCUGUCAAGUCUGAUGUGAAAGCCCGGGGCUCAACCCCGGAAGUGCAUUGGAAACUGGCAGACUUGAGUACGGGAGAGGAAAGUGGAAUUUCGAGUGUAGGGGUGAAAUCCGUAGAUAUUCGAAGGAACACCAGUGGCGAAGGCGGCUUUCUGGACCGAUACUGACGCUGAGAUGCGAAAGCGUGGGGAGCAAACAGG
This 252-nucleotide ribosomal RNA is filed under the name uncultured bacterium. RNAcentral describes it as "partial 16S ribosomal RNA". It matches the Rfam family "Bacterial small subunit ribosomal RNA", at positions 525 to 776 of the family's 1533-position model. The record is from RNAcentral.